This is a long non-coding RNA of Drosophila sulfurigaster albostrigata, 698 nucleotides long. RefSeq lists it as uncharacterized. The transcript is spliced from 4 exons. NCBI's taxonomy places the organism in Eukaryota, Metazoa, Arthropoda, Insecta, Diptera, Drosophilidae. The record is from RefSeq and is a predicted model, not a curated record.
CGACUUCGUGGAUGUCACUGUCAAUCGUUCGCGUCAAGAUGAAGCCCAAGAAUCAUAUUUAUUGGCACCACUCCCAUUUACUAUUCGUCUAAACCGCGAUGCUGGCACACAAACAGAGGUAAUAAGAACCGCUUCUAAGCGUGCUAAACGUUUCAUCUCUGAUGGUCCCGAUGCAAAGCGUCCAAUACGUUUCUAGUGAAUUUUUCAUUUUGUUGAAAACUAAAGACACAGUUAAUUUCAUAUUUAAAAUUCAUUUCAAAAAACGUUUUUAGCUAUUCAGCUUAUCAUUCAAAUGGAUAAAAAAAAAAUAUAUAGCAGUUUGAAAAGAAAAUUGUAUUAAAGAGUUUACAUAUGUUUAGGAUGACAAGCAAACACUUCUUAUUUUAAUCUUAACAAUUGGAUCAAAAGUAAGUCUAAUAUCAAAUUAAGCGUCAUCUUAUGCACACAAAUGCUUAUGAUGUCGAGGAACUUUAAGGCAAUUGUUAAAUAAAUAGAUGCUCGACUCAAAAAUCAAAAAAAAAUACAAAAUCAUAAAAUCAAAAAAGCUCCUAGUAAGUUUAUUGGAUUUAAUAACGAGAAUGGAUCAAAUGAAAAUUAAUUUAUUUUUUAAAGGUUUCUAAAGCACAUUUCGUUAAUUUCAACUUGAAAUGUUAAUUCUAAAAUGAAAUAAAAUGUUAAAGCUAAAAGCAAAACAGAAA